AGCGAACAAGUACCGUGAGGGAAAGAUGAAAAGAACUUUGGAAAGAGAGUUAAACAGUACGUGAAAUUGCUGAAAGGGAAACGCUUGAUGUCAGUCGCGUCGGCUGGGGAUCAACCUUGCAUUCUUGGCUGGGUGUAUUUCCUGGUGGACGGGUCAGCAUCAGUUUCGGUCGUCAUACAAGGGCAAGGGGAACGUGGCACUCUUCGGGGUGUGUUAUAGCCUCUCGUCGUAUGUGAUGGUUGGGACUGAGGAACUCAGCACGGCCUUGCUUGUGCUCAGGAUGCUGGCAUAAUGGCCUUAAGCGACCCGUCUUGAAACACGGACCAAGGAGUCUAACAUGUCUGCGAGUAUUUGGGUGGAAAACCCGAAUGCGAAAUGAAAGUGAAAGUCGAGACCUCUGUCGUGGAGGGCAUCGACGCCCGGACCCGAGUCUCUGACGAAGGAUCUGCGGUAGAGCAUGCAUGUUGGGACCCGAAAGAUGGUGAACUAUGCCUGAAUAGGGUGAAGCCAGAGGAAACUCUGGUGGAGGCUCGUAGCGAUUCUGACGUGCAAAUC
This 555-nucleotide ribosomal RNA is filed under the name Tylopilus tabacinus. RNAcentral describes it as "partial large subunit ribosomal RNA". It matches the Rfam family "Eukaryotic large subunit ribosomal RNA", at positions 339 to 899 of the family's 3401-position model. The record is from RNAcentral. Lineage: Eukaryota; Fungi; Basidiomycota; Agaricomycetes; Boletales; Boletaceae.